UACGGAGGGAGCUAGCGUUGUUCGGAAUUACUGGGCGUAAAGCGCGCGUAGGCGGUGAUUCAAGUCAGAGGUGAAAGCCCGGGGCUCAACCCCGGAACUGCCUUUGAAACUAGAUCGCUAGAAUCUUGGAGAGGUCAGUGGAAUUCCUAGUGUAGCGGUGAAAUGCGUAGAUAUUAGGAAGAACACCAGUGGCGAAGGCGCUCUACUGGGCCAUUACUGACGCUGAUGGACGAAAGCUAGGGGAGCGAAAGGG
This 253-nucleotide ribosomal RNA is filed under the name uncultured bacterium. RNAcentral's name for it is "partial 16S ribosomal RNA". It matches the Rfam family "Bacterial small subunit ribosomal RNA", at positions 524 to 776 of the family's 1533-position model. The record is from RNAcentral.